RNAcentral lists this ribosomal RNA (497 nucleotides) under uncultured bacterium. RNAcentral's name for it is "partial 16S ribosomal RNA". It matches the Rfam family "Bacterial small subunit ribosomal RNA", at positions 28 to 507 of the family's 1533-position model. The record is from RNAcentral.
GAUGAACGCUGGCGGCGUGCCUAAUACAUGCAAGUCGAGCGAACGGACGAGAAGCUUGCUUCUCUGAUGUUAGCGGCGGACGGGUGAGUAACACGUGGAUAACCUACCUAUAAGACUGGGAUAACUUCGGGAAACCGUAGCUAAUACCGGAUAAUAUUUUGAACCUCAUGGUUCAAAAGUGAAAGACGGUCUUGCUGUCACUUAUAGAUGGAUCCGCGCUGCAUUAGCUAGUUGGUAAGGUAACGGCUUACCAAGGCGACGAUGCAUAGCCGACCUGAGAGGGUGAUCGGCCACACUGGAACGGAGACACGGUCCAGACUCCUACGGGAGGCAGCAGUAGGGAAUCUUCCGCAAUGGGCGAAAGCCUGACGGAGCAACGCCGCGUGAGUGAUGAAGGUCUUCGGAUCGUAAAACUCUGUUAUUAGGGAAGAACAUAUGUGUAAGUAACUGUGCACAUCUUGACGGUACCUAAUCAGAAAGCCACGGCUAACUACGUG